This 466-nucleotide ribosomal RNA is filed under the name uncultured bacterium. RNAcentral's name for it is "bacterial SSU rRNA". It matches the Rfam family "Bacterial small subunit ribosomal RNA", at positions 338 to 795 of the family's 1533-position model. The record is from RNAcentral.
CCUANGGGAGGCAGCAGUGAGGAAUCUUGCGCAAUGGGGGAAACCCUGACGCAGCAACGCCGCGUGAGUGAGGAAGGUUUUCGGAUCGUAAAGCUCUGUCGGGUGGAAAGAAAUGUAUGAAGGUUAAUAGCCUGCAUACUUGACGGUACCACCAAAGGAAGCACCGGCUAACUCCGUGCCAGCAGCCGCGGUAAUACGGGGGGUGCAAGCGUUGUUCGGAAUUAUUGGGCGUAAAGAGCGUGUAGGCGGCUUGGUAAGUCAGAUGUGAAAGCCCUGAGCUUAACUCAGGAAGUGCAUUUGAAACUGUCAGGCUAGAGUAGGGGAGAGGAAAGCGGAAUUCCUGGUGUAGAGGUGAAAUUCGUAGAUAUCAGGAGGAACACCGGUGGCGAAGGCGGCUUUCUGGCCCUAUACUGACGCUGAGGCGCGAGAGCGUGGGGAGCAAACAGGAUUAGAUACCCCANUANUC